GUGGGGAAUAUUGCACAAUGGGGGAAACCCUGAUGCAGCAACGCCGCGUGGAGGAUGACACAUUUCGGUGCGUAAACUCCUUUUAUAUAGGAAGAUAAUGACGGUACUAUAUGAAUAAGCACCGGCUAACUCCGUGCCAGCAGCCGCGGUAAUACGGAGGGUGCAAGCGUUACUCGGAAUCACUGGGCGUAAAGAGCGUGUAGGCGGAUAUAUAAGUCAGAAGUGAAAUCCAAUAGCUUAACUAUUGAACUGCUUUUGAAACUGUAUAUCUAGAAUGUGGGAGAGGUAGAUGGAAUUUCUGGUGUAGGGGUAAAAUCCGUAGAGAUCAGAAGGAAUACCGAUUGCGAAGGCGAUCUACUGGAACAUUAUUGACGCUGAGACGCGAAAGCGUGGGGAGCAAACAGGAUUAGAAACCCUUGUAGUCC
This 425-nucleotide ribosomal RNA is filed under the name uncultured bacterium. RNAcentral's name for it is "partial 16S ribosomal RNA". It matches the Rfam family "Bacterial small subunit ribosomal RNA", at positions 354 to 796 of the family's 1533-position model. The record is from RNAcentral.